Molecule: unclassified non-coding RNA, 338 nt
Filed under: soil metagenome
Description: partial contains 5.8S ribosomal RNA, internal transcribed spacer 2, and large subunit ribosomal RNA
Rfam family: 5.8S ribosomal RNA (bases 1-120)
Source: RNAcentral
GAUGAAGAACGUAGCGAAAUGCGAUACGUAGUGUGAAUUGCAGAAUUCAGUGAAUCAUCGAAUCUUUGAACGCACAUUGCGCCCUUUGGUAUUCCAAAGGGCAUGCCUGUUCGAGCGUCAUUUGUACCCUCAAGCUUUGCUUGGUGUUGGGCGUCUUGUCUCCAGUCCGCUGGAGACUCGCCUUAAAGUCAUUGGCAGCCGGCCUGCUGGUUUCGGAGCGCAGCACAAGUCGCACUCUUUUCCAGCCAAGGUCAGUGUCCAACAAGCCUUUUUUCAACUUUUGACCUCGGAUCAGGUAGGGAUCCCCGCUGAACUUAAGCAUAUCAAUAAGCGGAGGA